AACGAACGCUGGCGGCAGGCCUAACACAUGCAAGUCGAACGCCCCGCAAGGGGAGUGGCAGACGGGAGAGUAACGCGUGGGAACCUUCCCAAAGGUGCGGAAUAGCUCAGGGAAACUUGGGGUAAUACCGCAUAAUGCCGAGAGGCCAAAGAUUUAUCGCCUUUGGAUGGGCCCGCGUCGGAUUAGCUAGUUGGUGAGGUAACGGCUCACCAAGGCGACGAUCCGUAGCUGGUUUGAGAGAAUGACCAGCCACACUGGGACUGAGACACGGCCCAGACUCCUACGGGAGGCAGCAGUGGGGAAUCUUGGACAAUGGGCGCAAGCCUGAUCCAGCCAUGCCGCGUGAGUGACGAAGGCCUUAGGGUUGUAAAGCUCUUUUGCCGGGGACGAUAAUGACGGUACCCGGAGAAUAAGUCCCGGCUAACUUCGUGCCAGCCGCCGCAGUAA
This 447-nucleotide ribosomal RNA is filed under the name uncultured bacterium. RNAcentral describes it as "partial 16S ribosomal RNA". It matches the Rfam family "Bacterial small subunit ribosomal RNA", at positions 29 to 523 of the family's 1533-position model. The record is from RNAcentral.